UGGGGAAUUUUGCGCAAUGGGCGAAAGCCUGACGCAGCAACGCCGCGUGCGGGAAGAAGGCCCUCGGGUUGUAAACCGCUUUCAGCAGGACGAAAUUGACGGUACCUGCAGAAGAAGCCCGGCCAACUACGUGCCAGCAGCCGCGGUAAUACGUAGGGCGCAAGCGUUGUCCGGAAUUAUUGGGCGUAAAGAGCUCGUAGGCGGCUUGUCACGUCGGUUGUGAAAGCCCGGGGCUUAACCCCGGGUCUGCAGUCGAUACGGGCAGGCUAGAGUUCGGUAGGGGAGAUCGGAAUUCCUGGUGUAGCGGUGAAAUGCGCAGAUAUCAGGAGGAACACCGGUGGCGAAGGCGGAUCUCUGGGCCGAUACUGACGCUGAGGAGCGAAAGCGUGGGGAGCGAACAGGAUUAGAUACC
RNAcentral lists this ribosomal RNA (412 nucleotides) under uncultured bacterium. RNAcentral describes it as "bacterial SSU rRNA". It matches the Rfam family "Bacterial small subunit ribosomal RNA", at positions 355 to 786 of the family's 1533-position model. The record is from RNAcentral.